RNAcentral lists this ribosomal RNA (496 nucleotides) under uncultured bacterium. RNAcentral's name for it is "partial 16S ribosomal RNA". It matches the Rfam family "Bacterial small subunit ribosomal RNA", at positions 29 to 507 of the family's 1533-position model. The record is from RNAcentral.
AUGAACGCUGGCGGCGUGCCUAAUACAUGCAAGUCGAGCGAACAGAUGAGGAGCUUGCUCCUCUGACGUUAGCGGCGGACGGGUGAGUAACCCGUGGAUAACCUACCUAUAAGACUGGGAUAACUUCGGGAAACCGGAGCUAAUACCGGAUAAUAUAUUGAACCGCAUGGUUCAAUAGUGAAAGACGGUUUUGCUGUCACUUAUAGAUGGAUCCGCGCCGCAUUAGCUAGUUGGUAAGGUAACGGCUUACCAAGGCAACGAUGCGUAGCCGACCUGAGAGGGUGAUCGGCCACACUGGAACUGAGACACGGUCCAGACUCCUACGGGAGGCAGCAGUAGGGAAUCUUCCGCAAUGGGCGAAAGCCUGACGGAGCAACGCCGCGUGAGUGAUGAAGGUCUUCGGAUCGUAAAACUCUGUUAUUAGGGAAGAACAAAUGUGUAAGUAACUAUGCACGUCUUGACGGUACCUAAUCAGAAAGCCACGGCUAACUACGUG